Parus major (Great Tit) is the source of this 2092-nucleotide long non-coding RNA. RefSeq lists it as uncharacterized. NCBI's taxonomy places the organism in Eukaryota, Metazoa, Chordata, Aves, Passeriformes, Paridae. The transcript is spliced from 3 exons. The record is from RefSeq and is a predicted model, not a curated record.
UAAAAUUACUUUGUGUUCUCAGUAUGAACAGACAGAACACAUGCCAUGGGAAAUUUACAUCCACUUUUUAUUUCCAUAGAUUAUGAAUCUGUUAAAAAAAUCACAAAAAGCAAAAAAAUGCAGAUCUAAUCUGUGGUUUGUUGGUCUCCAUAUAUUCACCAAUCUUGAAGUUUCUUCUGCAGUAAUUUUAUUGAUUUAAUCAAAUGGCAUUUUUUGUAGGACAAGUGCAUUUUCCUUCUCUGUUGAGGUAAAAGGCCUUUCUUUUCAAUUACUAAAUAUCAAUUAUAGUUCAUUUACAGUAGAAAUUCAGAGAUUGGAUGAAGUUUCAGCCUCGCAGUGGUCAUUGACUCAGGACUAGAUCGAGCAGAGAAUAAGGUCACAUUUUGACUGGAAAGGUAUCUGAUUGUCAGCUGCAACUGUGAAAGAUCAAAUCAAGGACCUAAAACCAAAGAAGUGUUUUGCACUUGGGUGGUGUGAAAUUUGUAUUUUGAUCUGGUUUCACAGACAUUCAAUGAGAGUCUACAUUUGUGGUGGCAUGUAGUCAAAACUACUCUUGGCCAGCUGGAUAACACUUUCCUUUCUUGAAUUCAGAGAAUUAUUACACUGGAUCAUGAAACUUCUAAUUUAAUGGUCAUUAUACCUGAAGAAAUUAUUUUCCUCUCUUGGUGCUGUGUCCUUUUUUGUUUUUCUAACUGCAAGUUUAAUAACUACCAAGACUUACCUUCCUCUUCAGAAGAAACAACUGCUUUUAAUCUAAUGGAAAAAAUGUAUUCGUGAGAAAUCAAUGAUUAUAUCAUCCUAAACAUGCUGCCAACAGCACUAAAGAUGAAGUUUGAUCUCAUUUGGAUUCUGAAGAUAUGGGACAUCAAAAUGUUUUCCCUAGAGGCCAAAGAAGGUGGAACAGUCUUCUCUGGUCUCUUCUUGUUGACUUCUCACAACAUUCUCUAUGACCAGGGAGCUGUGGUCCUUGACAUGUCUGUGCUGACACUUAACCACAAGCCACUUAUCCACUUACUCAGCAACUGUUUCUUAAGUUCUUUUCUGAAGUGUAAGGCUGGUUAUGUACGUCCAUGUAGGCACAUCUCUGUCACCCAGCUGAAUUUCUGCUCAAAGUGGAUUGAUAGAGGUUUACAUGCAUCAAAGGGAGCCUAUUCCUGGCAGAAAGCAUUAGCUGAUCUUUAGCAAGUCCCUUAAAGGAUCUGAAUGGGCUUAAUCUUUACCCUCAACACAGGUUCUUCUACUGUGGUAUUUUUCAGAGUUCAACUUCAGCCACCAGCCUGCACCCCUAGGACCAUUAUUAACCACUACAGCUGUAUCACUUGCAUCAUGAGACUUCUUGAUAUCCAGGAAAACUCAAUCGUCCUGCUAUAAAGAAUGUGGACAUGAAGACCAGCUUGUAUAUUUGUGUUCCCGAAUGUCUUCCACUUGAGGAAAAACCUGUGUGCUAUUGGAUAAGGUCCUGAAACAUAAUUUAAAAGCAUCACCAGAAGGAAAAACCCAUCAUGAAGUGGGAGAAAGUCUUCUUGAACAUUAUUCAUUUGAAUCAUGGAUCUGUAUAGAAGCAGAUAUUGACAUGAUGCAGCUGAUGUGUGACAGAGUACCAAAUGGAUGUCCUUCGAUAAGUCAGUUGUAACUUCCCUAAGCCAUCACUAUUCUCCUAGUGGGCCAUAUUUUUUAGGGAAUUGCUCAGUAUGCGUAUCAGCUUUCCUGGUCCUAAAUUCUUUUAAGCUGCCUAUUUCUUUCAGAGUGAAAAUUUGAGACAGUGUAGCCCAUGAAUUGCUGUGAAGGUGUAGAAGCCACAUUCCUCACUUUUAAGGGACUGGUGUGGUAGCUUAUAGGAGUCUAAUGUUCCAUGCAAUUUAUGAUUUUCCACUUUAUUGAAGAAAUAAUUCUGUUUGUGGUUUUAUGAACUUGCAGUCUUGAAUACACAGUACUGCAGGUCACAAUUUUAUCUAUAGGCUGUUCCAUCUUAAAUGAAGAAAUACUAUAUGUUGUUAAAAUCUUGAUCUACAAGAGUUUGCAAAAAAAAAGUAAUGAUGUUUGACUUAAAAUGCAAUUUUUAAAAGUUGAACAUUUCUUAUUAAAAUUUCUU